GCACCUAGCUCAGUUGGUAGAGCAUGAGACUCUUAAUCUCAAGGUCAUGGGUUCGAACCCAGCGUUGGACA
Molecule: non-coding RNA, 71 nt
Organism: Podarcis lilfordi (Lilford's wall lizard)
Lineage: Eukaryota; Metazoa; Chordata; Lepidosauria; Squamata; Lacertidae
Source: the annotation of a GenBank genome assembly